ACACUGUGUGUGAAUACGCUCCUAAAACACUCCUGCUAUCAUACGCUGGGACUGAAGCAGGCCUAUACAAGGUCAUGAUUAAAGUCAAUUGAUUUGGACAGAUUUUUUUUCUUCCUUUUGACUUGACAAGGGACUGACAUUGGGCUUACUCAAGAAGACAUGGACAACUGCAGCAAACUUAGUUACACAUCUUGCAAUUUCCCAUGCGGUCAUAGAAACUCACAUCUUCCUUUUUUUACUUCUGUAGAGGCUGCUUAUUGGCCAUUGUUCCAAUCCUCUACAUCAAAAGCCAUGCCUCGGUCCAUGACAGCAUCUUCUAUGGAGCCAGUCUACACGCCUUGAGGAACAGACACGGGGUGUUGUCCAGAGCCAUCCUGCCAGGUGCUCAGUCUCUCCACUCAAAAUGAUACCCCCCCAGGUAUUCUAAUUUUCUCCCCUUCUUCCUGAACUGUGCCCUAAAUUGCUCACUCACCCUCCUGUAUUUUUAAGUAUUGGAUUGAUGCAAUCAUGGGGGUUUCUAUCAUAAUUAUUUCACACCACCAGUCAAAUUUGUUUUUAUCCAUGAGGGGAGUGGGUUAAGGGCUGGGUUAGAGAAUUGUGCUGGGUUAGAGACUUGGGACGGGUUUGAUAACGUAAUGUACAAUAUGAUUUUAUUUUGUAAAGAAGGGUGUUUCUGAAUCUCUUUCUCCUGUGUUCAGGCAUUUUGUCAGGUCUGAUGUGGACAUUGGCCAAGGACUGGUUACUGGCUAACCACUACCUUAGUGCCGUGGUCACCUUUCCCAUUGUCUCUGCAAGGAUGCCCCUUGACAUAUCAUCGUUAGAUGACUCAUACUUGGCGUAGCACACAGCUUGUGUCUGUGUUUAGCGUUUGACAUUGAGAUUCCGUCUUGUCCUCUUACAGAAUAGAAUUUGUGCUAUUCGCCCAUUUUUUUGAGAAACCAUUACCAGGAAUGGUAACACAAAGUGGAGAACCUAACAACGGUCCUUCGGAAAAACCUAAGGUGUAUUUCAUCCUGUCAUUCAAUCAACCUUAAUUCAAAAGGUUUUCCUCAGUCCUUAGGGUUAUGGUCUAGUCGCAGCUCUGUGGGGAAGUCUGGUUUUCAAAGAAGUCAAGGGCCUGGUAAACGGCUUCAUCUUCAUAGUAGCGUCCUGUUUUGUCCUGACUGGAUCACUGCUGAUGGCCUUCUCCAAGGUGUAGUGGAACACUCAAUACACCACUAGGUGGCAACAUUAUACAUCAAUGGCCCUCCUGGAGGAGGCCUGGGGUGUAUUCAUGAGGUGAAAUGUUCUGAAUGUUAUCGAUUUGAAAGGACAGAAGCAAUUCACAGUCCCCUAUUCAUCUACCUCAGACAAUCAUAUCUGUUCGAGAACAUAUAUUUCUAUCUGAAAUAUAUGCUGUUUUCAUGUUUUGCUGCCAUGCUAUGUUGUCCUCUUAGGUCUCUUUAUGUAGUGUUGUGAUGUCUCUCUUGUCGUGAUGUGUGUUUUGUCCUAUAUUUUCUUUUAUUUAGCAUUUUUAAACCCAGCCACCGUCCUCGCAAGAGGCCUUUUGCCUUCUGGUAGGCAAUCAUUGUAAAUAAGAAUUUGUUCUUAACUGACUUGGCAGGUUAAAUUAAUAAUAAUAAUACACCCUCUGAACAGAGCCCUGUAUGGUGAAGUAUGUCUGUGAUAGUCCUUCAGUUUUGUCCGUGCGUCUAAUGGAGCACCUGUUCAAUUAGGGUUCAGCUGUUGCUGCUACUCGCUCUUCUGUUGUCAUGUUUUAAAUAACUCUCAAUAGAUUAAUUCAAUUGCAUUCAGAAUAUGUUGACAGGGAAGAUGUAUAUAUAACUUCCACAAUGUUUAUACAGUGCUGAUAUCAAUUUGUGGUGUUGUCUGUGGCACUUUUCUCUGAAUUUGAGUCAAACUUUUUUAUGAAAUGUGAAAAUCUAUGAACUUAAAAUAUUUAAAUCCUAAUAUUGGAACACACAGGUUUUUGAGCACUUCACUUUUUAAGGGAAACUGGUGGAGAAAGCAGUAACCCUAAUUGGUAUGCUAAUCUACAUUAUAAUUAGUUCCUGAAAAGUCAAUGACUUCUUUCCAUACACACAAAAAGCUUAUUUCUAUCAUUUUGUUCACAUUUGUUUAUAUCCCUAUUAGUGAGCAUUUCUUCUGUGCCAAGAUAAUCCAACCACAUGACAGGUGUGGCAUAUCAAGAAGCUGAUUAAAAAGCAUGAUCAUUACACAGGUGCCACUUUGUGCUGGUGACAAUAAAAGGACACUCUAAAAUGUGCAGUUUGUCACACAACAAAAUAGAUGUCUCAAGUUUUGAGGGAGCGUAUCAAUUGGCAUGCUGGAAUGUCCAACAGAGCUAUUGCCAGAAUUUGUUCAUUUCUCUACCACAAACCACCUCUAACAUCGUUUUAGAGAAUUUGGCAGUAAGUCCAACCGGCCUCACAACCGCAGCCCAGGACCUCCACAUUCAGCUUCUUCACCUGCGGGAACAUCUGAGGGGGAAAAACUCAUUCUGAUUGGCUGGUUGUUGGCUCUCAAGUGGGUGGGCCUGUGACCUCAUAGGCCCAACAAUGGCUGUACCCCUGUUCAGUCAUGUGAAAUCCAUAAACGAGGGCCAAAUUAAUUUAUUUCAACUGACGGAUUUCCUUCUAUGAACUGUAACUCUGUAACUGUAAAAUUGUGUAUUUUAGUUCAGUGUAUUUUGAAGUGGAACUUGGGGGACUGAAUCUGAUUUUUCUAUGUUAAAGCUUAAUGGAUGGAGAUGGGAACUAACCUACAAAUAUUUAGUUAAAGUUACCCUUGAAUAGAAGGUGAAACGUGCUUUUAUUCCGCUCUUUGCUUCUGAAUCUACAAUGGGCUUUUUAUUCAAAUGUAAAAGACCAGUACUUGAUGAAUACUAAUGACUUUUUGGGGUAUAUGACAAUGGAUCUUUUUUGUACUUUUGUUAGACUGUGAUGAAUCAGGGAAUAACACACUUCAGAAUCUGUGUAGCUAUAGCAGCCAUCCCCAGGCUACUUUUGACUAGGACCCCAGGGACAGCUUAAUCAGCUUUAAUCCUAGGAUUAAAGUCCCCUCUAUGUAUUCAUUAUGUAAAUUAGAACUUAUUAGUAAUGAGUUUGAAAAGAACUUGCAUGACCCUCUACUUUCAAAACCUCCCGGAUAAUUGUGAGAUGUGUACAUCAGGACAACAGGCAUUGUUUGAUGCUUUACCACUGGGACAAAAGAGUAGAUUCUGAAAUAACCUGUCGCUACUGUAUAGUGGGGUGUCAGGAUAUAGAAUAAUGUACAAUACAUUACAGUAUAGUGGCCAUGUACUUAGUGGAGUCCAAACAGAAGUGUUGAGAUAUCGAAUUAAUGAACUUUAUUUGCAGAUAUACGCAUCCCACAUUGAUGGCUUAUUAUUGACUGUAUUUAUCUUCUUUUUUUUAAAUAUGAAAGGGAAGGACAAUGUUGGCUCAAGUUCUUUGGGACAUUCUAAUUGCUCAGAAUUUGCAUUUGGUGUCCCUGCACAUACAGUGCAUUCAGAUCCCAUAUUCAGAUCCCUUGAUUUUUUUCCCACAUUUUGUUACGUUACAGCUUUAUUCUAAAAUUGAUUAAAUUGUUUUUUCAAUCUACACACAAUACCCCAUAGUGACAAAGUAAA
Salvelinus fontinalis (brook trout) is the source of this 3631-nucleotide long non-coding RNA. RefSeq lists it as uncharacterized. NCBI's taxonomy places the organism in Eukaryota, Metazoa, Chordata, Actinopteri, Salmoniformes, Salmonidae. The transcript is spliced from 3 exons. The record is from RefSeq and is a predicted model, not a curated record.